CCAAUAGCGUAUAUUAAAGUUGUUGCAGUUAAAAAGCUCGUAGUUGAAUUUCGGGAUCAAUAUAUCGGUCGUGCCAUUGGUACGUACUGGUAUCAUUGGUUUCUCCUUUCUGACGAACCAUGAUGUCAUUAAUUUGGUGUUAUGGGAAGUUAGGACUGUUACUUUGAAAAAAUUAGAGUGUUUAAAGCAGGCUUUAGCUUGAAUACAUUAGCAUGGAAUAAUGAAAUAGGACGUUCGAACCUAUUUUGUUGGUUUCUAGGAUCAACGUAAUGAUUAAUAGGGAUAGUUGGGGGCAUUAGUAUUCAAUUGUCAGAGGUGAAAUUCUUGGAUUUAUUGAAGACUAACUACUGCGAAAGCAUUUGCCAAGGAUGUUUUCAUUAAUCAAGAACGAAAGUUAGGGGAUCGAAGACGAUCAGAUACCGUCGUAGUCUUAACCAUAAACGAUGCCAACCAGCGAUUAGCCUGAGUUCCUUAAAUGACUCGGCUAGCAGCUUCCG
This 497-nucleotide unclassified non-coding RNA is filed under the name uncultured Glomus. RNAcentral's name for it is "SSU rRNA". It matches the Rfam family "Eukaryotic small subunit ribosomal RNA", at positions 591 to 1092 of the family's 1831-position model. The record is from RNAcentral. Lineage: Eukaryota; Fungi; Glomeromycota; Glomeromycetes; Glomerales; Glomeraceae.